UAUCGUAAUUGAAGAGGUUUGGAAAGACCCACCACAGAAGGUAAUAGUCCUGUAUGUUAAACGAGAAGACUUUAGAUAUGAUCCAGAGUACCACGGGACACGUGAAACCCUGUGGGAAGCAGGAGGGACCACCCUCAAAGGCUAAAUACUACCUAGUGACCGAUAGCGUAUAGUACCGUGAGGGAAAGGUGAAAAGAACCCCGGGAGGGGAGUGAAAUAGAACCUGAAACCCUGCACUUACAAGCUGUGGAAGCACAUUUCUUG
RNAcentral lists this ribosomal RNA (264 nucleotides) under Clostridioides difficile. Its description in RNAcentral is "partial 23S ribosomal RNA". It matches the Rfam family "Bacterial large subunit ribosomal RNA", at positions 325 to 591 of the family's 2925-position model. The record is from RNAcentral. Lineage: Bacteria; Bacillati; Bacillota; Clostridia; Peptostreptococcales; Peptostreptococcaceae.